ACAUUGGCGCAGCUGAUCAGCCAUGCCGCGUGCUAGUGAUGAAGGUCUUCGGAUUGUAAAGCCUAGCUUUAUAGUAUCGGGAGCGAAGGGCAGUGGGUUAAUACCUUGGUGUUUUGACGUGUACCGAUCAGAAUAAGCACCGGCUAACUUCGUGCCAGCAGCCGCGGUAAUACGAAGGGUGCAAGCGUUAAUCGGAAUUACUGGGCGUAAAGCGCGCGUAGGUGGUUCGUUAAGAUGGAUGUGAAAUCCCCGGGCUCAACCUGGGAACUGCAUUCGAAACUGGCAAGCUAGAGUACGGUAGAGGGUGGUGGAAUUUCCUGUGUAGCGGUGAAAUGCGUAGAUAUACGAAGGAACACCAGUGGCGAAGGCGACCACCUGGACUGAUACUGACACUGAUGUGCGAAAGCGUGGGGAGCAAACAGGAUUAGAUACCCUGGUAGUCCACGCCGUAAACGAUGUCAACUAGCCGUUGGGUCCCUUGUGACUCUAUUGGCGCACCUAACGCAUUAAGUUGACCGCCUGGGAAGUACGGCCGCAAGGUUAAACUUCAAAUGAAUUGACGGGAGCCCGCACAAGCGGUGAAGAAUGUGGUUUAAUUCAUACCACCGCGAAGAACCUUACCUCGUCUUGACAUGCUGGAGAACUUUCCAGAGUUGGAUAGUGUGUCGUACAGAGAACUCGUGACACAGGUGCUGCAUGGCUGUCGUCAGCUCGUGUCGUGAGAUGUUGGGUUAAGUCCCGUCAACGAGCGCAACCCUUGUCCAUUAGUUAGCUAGCGACAUCGUGUGCGCACUGCUACUGACAACUGACGAUGACAAGCAGGAUGAAGGAUGACGAUCGACCUCCUCGUGGUCCUUGAUCCGUAGGGCUACGGCUAUCAUACUAGUGACUGGUGACAGGUACAUAGCGGAUGCCAAACGGCGGAGCUGGAGCCCUAAUCCCCUAAUACCGAUUCGUAAUCCGGAUCUGCAUCUGCGAACUGCGACUAGGUUGGAGUCGCUAUCCCUCGUGGAUUCUGAAUGUAACUGGUGCACGACGUAUCACGUUUCCUGGUACAUAGCCAAACAGUGACAGUUAUCAGCAGUGGGGACUGGGCUU
Molecule: ribosomal RNA, 1098 nt
Filed under: Pseudomonas putida
Lineage: Bacteria; Pseudomonadati; Pseudomonadota; Gammaproteobacteria; Pseudomonadales; Pseudomonadaceae
Description: bacterial SSU rRNA
Rfam family: Bacterial small subunit ribosomal RNA
Source: RNAcentral